This is an RNA transcript of Populus nigra (black poplar), 2138 nucleotides long. RefSeq lists it as uncharacterized. The transcript has 16 exons. Lineage: Eukaryota; Viridiplantae; Streptophyta; Magnoliopsida; Malpighiales; Salicaceae. The record is from RefSeq and is a predicted model, not a curated record.
GAGUUUACCCUUUAUUUCCUUCUCGCUCAAAUAAGCCAGUCUGUUUCUUUAUGUUCCAGCUGAAAUAACAAAUCUCAGCUGCCGGAGAAAUCAGAGCCUGCAAAAGACGAUCCAUUCUUUUGAUAUGUCAAAAGCAGCAGCCAACGUUGCCAGUUUUUCUCACACUUUCAAGUACUUAUUGGCUACUCAGUUCUUGUCAAGAGGAAUCCCUUUUAUUUUCAAUUCCUGGAUCGUUAGACACCUUACAGCCGAGGACUAUGCGUUAUAUGCAGUGCAAUUUCAUCUCUUUGUGACAUGUGUGUUGUUUCUUAGUCGAGAAGGAUUCCGGCGAGCCUGCAUGAGGGCCGACAUUAAAUGUGAUGGUGCCUCAACCGAGGAAUAUGCAGCAAAGUUAUUAAAAGUAGCUUGGAUGACACUCCCUCUUGGAGUAGUUACAACGAUUUCAGCAUGUGUUUUUGUUUUCUGGUGGCAAGGAUUAACUUAUUCUGAUCCAUACGCACAAGCUAUCUUGAUCAAUGGCUGUGCAUGUAUUUUGGAGCUUUUGGCCGAACCCUUGUAUAUUGUCUCUCAGAAUUUGCUAUUGCUCAAACUGCGGUUGAUCGUUGAAACAGCAGCUACACUUUUGCGUUGUUUGACAAUGUACAUCCUGAUUGUCAAGCAAACCAGCAUGGAUAAGGGGAUUGUUUUUGCGUUGUCGCAAACUGCAUAUGGAGCUUGUUUGUUCUUAGGAUAUUGGAGUUACUUUGUUCUUUUCCGUGCAUUUAGAAGUUCUGUUCUUUUCCCUUUCAGACUAGGAACCAUAAUGGAUUAUGACAAGCAGCUCUCUAGCAUGUGUGUUCUGUUAACCCUACAAUCCUUUCAAAAGCUUAUCCUUCAAGAAGGGGAAAAAUUUGUUCUUGUAUGGUUGGAUACCCCAUACAACCAGGCUGUAUAUGGACUUGUUGACAAGUUAGGGAGCUUAGUUGUCAGAUUGGUGUUUCUUCCAUUUGAGGAAAGUUCAUAUGCUACAUUUGCCAGGUCUGCAUCAGGAAAAGAUCCAAACAAAAGCAGGAAACUGGGAAGCUGCCUAUCAGAGGCCUUGAAGCUUGUUUUGUUAAUUGGUGUUGUAUUUAUGACAUUUGGCCCAAGUUACUCCUACUCUCUCAUCAGAAUGUUGUAUGGCCGUAAAUGGAGUGAUGGAGAGGCAUCGACAGCCCUCCAGUAUUAUUGCUUCUAUGUCAUUGUCUUGGCUAUGAAUGGAACUUCCGAAGCGUUUCUACAUGCUGUUGCAACAGAGAGCCAACUCAAGCGCUCAAAUGAUUCGUUGCUUGUGUUCUCAUUGAUAUAUGUAGUGAUGAAUGUCCUGCUGAUAAAGUCAGCUGGUGCUGUUGGCUUGAUUCUGGCAAAUUCCUUAAAUAUGAUCUUGAGGAUUAUAUACUCUGCAGUAUUCAUCAAAUACUACUUUCAGGAUUCUUCUGCAUUUUCUUUUACCAGCUGCUUACCUUCAGGUUGGACAGUUCUGUUGUUUUCUGGUGUAAUUACUCUCAUCUCUGAGAAAUUAUUUCUGGACCACGAAAAUUUCUGGCCAACAUUUUUAAUCCACUUCUCCAUCGGCUUAACUUGCUUCUGCAUUUCGUCUUUCAUCAUUUACCGCCGCGAGAGACCUUUCAUCAACAGAAUUAUCCGUUUCCGUGAUCACAUGGACUGAAGAAUAAAUAACUGUCCUUACAGCUUGUGAGUCACAAAAAACACAAGGGUGAGGAUGAAUUACACUCUGUUGAAGUCCAUUCCAUGUUACGGUGGGAUUAUUAGUAGCAAGGAUUACUGGAUACCCAACAAGGAACAAUGGAACACACUUGCUCCUCAAUUUGGGUAAGAACUUAGCGAGUCAGUAGAGCUGGUAAUGUUGUCUUAUGAAGAUCAUUUUCAAAAUAACAACACACUGCAUCGUUAAGCUUCUUCAAUUGGGUUCUGCCAUGGACAACCGGUAGACUGAUGUCUGCUCAUUCCAUUGCGAAGUUUAUGGUGUUGUUUUUGUGCUCUAAUAACAGUUUUUCUUUGGAUAAAAAAACAUGAGAAGUUCGAGCAUCAUACUUUAGUAGAAAAAGGUGGUAAACGUUUAAACAGCCAUGAUAACCCGUUAUAAUGGUUCUAGUCAA